CAGAUUUGGAGAACUUGCGUGGCAUUUUGGAGCUCGCAUUAACAGCUGUCUUGUCCACUUCCUCUGUCGGCUUGUGCACUGCCUUGGGAAAGUAACCCAUCCAUCUCAGGGAUCUUGGGGGAUGUGCGACGGAGCGAACAACAACAAAAAAAAAAAUGAAGAAAAAUUGCGGCAUGUCAGUUGAAGGCACAACAACAAUAAAAAGGACCAAACAGACAACAUGAAGACAUUGCCGGAGCAGGGAACACGCGCCAAAAGCAUUCAACAACAACAUUAACAACAGGAGGAGCAGCAGCAGCAGCAGCAGGAGCGGAAGCAGGAGCCGCCAGGACGAAAAUUUUUGGCCAAGUCGCCCGCACAAUGAGCAAAUCCCAAAAAUGAGACCAAAAAACUUAAUUUAACUUUACGUUAACAAUGAACAACAAUUUGGCAAGCAGAUGUUCUCGCUGCAUCAUAUUGGCAAAGCGGCUGAGUGGAUACACAGAACGCUAGCGCAUUAUGCACUCCAGGUGAAUGCAUAAUACUUCUUUCGUUAUAUCUCUGGGGAGCAGAAGGCUAGAUAUCUUUGACGUAUAAUUAAAGAGAACCACAACAGGCUGCUUGCUGUGAUACAAGGCGAUUUUUAGAUUCUGUUGUGAAGCCUGACGACUGUUUCCUCCUUCUUGCCCGUCUGCCAUAGCCAAGGGGCUCGAGGGUAUUGGCAGCUUCCGGCGUAGAUGAGGCCUAGGACUGUGGACUAGGUUAAUUAGCCUGUGCGGACGAGUCGGCUGCUCCAGCUUCACAAAAUGACAAAUUAAGGACUUAAAUGAGCUCUAAGGACCUCCAUGACUGACAAAGCAAUUUUAUCCAGGAUCGGACUUUAAUUAAGCCAGAUAUGGCGAACAGAAAUGCCCAGAAGAUCGACAGCAAAUAUUUUUGCGGCCGAAAAAUGACGUAGCACAAAGGGGCAUCAUCGUCGCCGGGCCAAAUUUGCACCUAAAUUCCACUCAAAUACCAGGCGAACAGAAAUGCACAGAAGGUCGACGAGUGCUUCGAAUAAAAAAUUUCAUUGCAUAGCCUUAAGGGGCAAAAAUGUAACUCAUUUAAAAUGAGUCAUGUUAAGUAGCAGUUCAUGUAAAAGGAGUGCUGUAAGGCGGCUGUAAAACAGCAGCUAAUGAAAACGGGUGGCUGAAAGAAAAAGCAUACAUGUUUUUGGAUCAUUUCAAUGCACAUUUUGCAGGGAUAUGAUCCUUUAGGUUCUCAAGGACUAUAUCGAUGGCAUGGUAUAACCAAGGGUAUGAUAGUCAACCAGGAACUAUCCAGGAAGCGGGCUGUUGCUAGGGGAAGCUGUAAAAUGAAAGCAUACAUAUUUUUUGACCAUGUGCUUGCGCAUUUUUCAAGAACUUGGUCCUUUAGGUUCGCUAGGACUAUAUCCAUGGUAUGGAAUAACCAACGAUAUAUAGGUCAACUAGGUACCAACAUUGUGAAUCUCUGCUGGUGGUAAACAAAUGAUUGAAUACAAAUUCUUAAAUGCUUUUCCAUGGAAAUAACUCCGCGAUGAUUUUGUUCGAUCUCUUUAAUUAUGCCGCUUUAAAACGAUGUACAAACGUACAUCCGCUGAUGUACAAACGACAUUAUUAUUUGUUGAUCAUUUUUGUCCAUGGGCGUGUGUCCCAACGAAACUGAAUAUUUUACUGUACAUGUGCGUGGCAGAUUUGGCUGAAAGAUAGAAUAAAAAAUGAUUGGGUUUUGGUAAACUAAAA
Drosophila virilis is the source of this 1742-nucleotide non-coding RNA. NCBI's taxonomy places the organism in Eukaryota, Metazoa, Arthropoda, Insecta, Diptera, Drosophilidae. The record is from RefSeq and is a predicted model, not a curated record.